UGAGACACGGUCCAGACUCCUACGGGAGGCAGCAGUGGGGAAUAUUGCACAAUGGGCGCAAGCCUGAUGCAGCCAUGCCGCGUGUGUGAAGAAGGCCUUCGGGUUGUAAAGCACUUUCAGUCGUGAGGAAGGUKKWGKMGUUAAUAGCKKCWWYRUUUGACGUUAGCGACAGAAGAAGCACCGGCUAACUCCGUGCCAGCAGCCGCGGUAAUACGGAGGGUGCGAGCGUUAAUCGGAAUUACUGGGCGUAAAGCGCAUGCAGGUGGUUUGUUAAGUCAGAUGUGAAAGCCCGGGGCUCAACCUCGGAAUUGCAUUUGAAACUGGCAGACUAGAGUACUGUAGAGGGGGGUAGAAUUUCAGGUGUAGCGGUGAAAUGCGUAGAGAUCUGAAGGAAUACCGGUGGCGAAGGCGGCCCCCUGGACAGAUACUGACACUCAGAUGCGAAAGCGUGGGGAGCAAACAGGAUUAGAUACCCUGGUAGUCCACGCCGUAAACGAUGUCUACUUGGAGGUUGUGGCCUUGAGCCGUGGCUUUCGGAGCUAACGCGUUAAGUAGACCGCCUGGGGAGUACGGUCGCAAGAUUAAAACUCAAAWGAAUUGACGGGGGCCCGCACAAGCGGUGGAGCAUGUGGUUUAAUUCGAUGCAACGCGAAGAACCUUACCUACUCUUGACAUCCAGAGAACUUUCCAGAG
RNAcentral lists this ribosomal RNA (693 nucleotides) under Vibrio sp. RNAcentral describes it as "bacterial SSU rRNA". It matches the Rfam family "Bacterial small subunit ribosomal RNA", at positions 320 to 1005 of the family's 1533-position model. Lineage: Bacteria; Pseudomonadati; Pseudomonadota; Gammaproteobacteria; Vibrionales; Vibrionaceae. The record is from RNAcentral.